AUGACCAAGCUGGAGACUGAAGCAGGUCAGAGGGAUCUCGAAGGGAGCCCCGGACAGUGGACGCUGAAGCUGCCGGCAGACCUCGCGGCUGUGUGGGCAGAGCUGGGGAGCCAGCCCCGGCCCUGGGACAGCUGCCUGUCUGCGUUUCCACGGCAACGCACGGAGGGAUGCCAAGCCUCCUGCCUUUAUAGACAAAUGCUUAUGUCCUCUAUCUUUUUCCCAAAUCACCCCCGAAAACAGUUGACGAUUCCUGACCUCUGCCCCUUCCCCACCUCUCUGGAAGAGAGGGCCCAGGACACCUGCGGAGUUGAUUGCUGCCCAGGUGCACAGGUAGCGCUCCCAGAGGGAGACGCAUUUUGGAGACUGAGGACUGUGCCCUUGGCGGAGAGAGGGCCGGCUCUCCCCUCGCCUUUGUCCAGCGAACUGCCCUGCCUAAGGACAGAGCGUGGCCUUGAUGGGACACUUUGCUGUCUGAGCCUCGGUGUCUGUAACAGUGAAACUCUAAAAGCUUUUGAAAUGCAAACAGACUGGCCCUGGCCCUCUUGGAGCACCACCCAAGGAUUUCAUGGCUCCAGGCAGGAGGGAUACACUAGUCCCAAUGUUGGCUGAGCCUUUUCUCCAAGUUUCUAUUCCUAGAAGGUUAUAACUAUGAGUCAGAAAAUUACCAUAAAUUACCCUGGGGCUGGGGCUGGGGGUAGGCUGAAGGCCAGGGGGGGUUGGGAAAUCACCUCCCCAAGGGGACCACUCCCACCACUGGCAGAGCCCAGAGCCAACAUUGGAACCUGAACCUGAGAGUCCAGACUUUGGGGGUGGGGUGCUGCUGGUCAUGAUCAAGCUUCUGGCACUUGAAAACGGCAGCGGUCUGGGGUCAGGACACAGACAACAACACAGAGACACAGUCCCUUCCUCCACAUCCUAAUUUUGUGAGUUCUCUUAGGAAAAUAUGUCAUACAAAUGAAGUUAAAACCCAACAAUAAUCCCAGUUUUUGAAAUGGUAUAAAACUGGGGCGCCUGAGUGGCUGAGUUUGGUUAAGCGUCUGAUUUAGGCUCAGAUUAUGAUCUCAAGGUUCGUGGGCUCAAGCCCCGCAUCGGGCUCUCUGCUGUCAGCGCAGAGCCUGCUUGGAUCCUCUGUCCCUCUCUUUCUCUGUCCCUCCCCCGCUCGUGCUCUCCCUCAGAAAUAAGACAAGCAUUUUUUUAAAACGGGGGGCGCCUGGGUGGCGCAGUCGGUUAAGCGUCCGACUUCAGCCAGGUCACGAUCUCGCGGUCUGUGAGUUCGAGCCCCGCGUCGGGCUCUGGGCUGAUGGCUCAGAGCCUGGAGCCUGUUUCUGAUUCUGUGUCUCCCUCUCUCUCUGCCCCUCCCCCGUUCAUGCUCUGUCUCUCUCUGUCCCAAAUAUAAAUAAACGUUGAAAAAAAAAAAAAUUUUAAAAUGGU
RNAcentral lists this long non-coding RNA (1431 nucleotides) under Felis catus (domestic cat). RNAcentral describes it as "lncRNA (ENSFCAG00000046156.2)". The stretch from base 1010 to 1095 matches the Rfam family "tRNA". The record is from RNAcentral. Lineage: Eukaryota; Metazoa; Chordata; Mammalia; Carnivora; Felidae.